GAUGAACGCUGGCGGCGUGCCUAAUACAUGCAAGUCGAGCGAACAGACGAGGAGCUUGCUCCUCUGACGUUAGCGGCGGACGGGUGAGUAACACGUGGAUAACCUACCUAUAAGACUGGGAUAACUUCGGGAAACCGGAGCUAAUACCGGAUAAUAUAUUGAACCGCAUGGUUCAAUAGUGAAAGACGGUUUUGCUGUCACUUAUAGAUGGAUCCGCGCCGCAUUAGCUAGUUGGUAAGGUAACGGCUUACCAAGGCAACGAUGCGUAGCCGACCUGAGAGGGUGAUCGGCCACACUGGAACUGAGACACGGUCCAGAGUCCUACGGGAGGCAGCAGUAGGGAAUCGUCCGCAAUGGGCGGAAGCCUGACGGAGCGACGCCGCGUGAGUGAUGAAGGUCUUCGGAUCGUAAAACUCUGUUAUUAGGGAAGAACAAAUGUGUAAGUAACUAUGCACGUCUUGACGGUACCUAAUCAGAAAGCCACGGCUAACUACGUG
RNAcentral lists this ribosomal RNA (497 nucleotides) under uncultured bacterium. RNAcentral's name for it is "partial 16S ribosomal RNA". It matches the Rfam family "Bacterial small subunit ribosomal RNA", at positions 28 to 507 of the family's 1533-position model. The record is from RNAcentral.